GUUGUCCCGGUUUAAGCGUGUAGGCUGGUUUUCCAGGCAAAUCCGGAAAAUCAAGGCUGAGGCGUGAUGACGAGGCACUGCGGUGCUGAAGCAACAAAUGCCCUGCUUCCAGGAAAAGCCUCUAAGCAUCAGGUAACAUCAAAUCGUACCCCAAACCGACACAGGUGGUCAGGUAGAGAAUACCAAGGCGCUUGAGAGAACUCGGGUGAAGGAACUAGGCAAAAUGGUGCCGUAACUUCGGGAGAAGGCACGCUGAUAUGUAGGUGAAGUCCCUCGCGGAUGGAGCUGAAAUCAGUCGAAGAUACCAGCUGGCUGCAACUGUUUAUUAAAAACACAGCACUGUGCAAACACGAAAGUGGACGUAUACGGUGUGACGCCUGCCCGGUGCCGGAAGGUUAAUUGAUGGGGUUAGCGCAAGCGAAGCUCUUGAUCGAAGCCCCGGUAAACGGCGGCCGUAACUAUAACGGUCCUAAGGUAGCGAAAUUCCUUGUCGGGUAAGUUCCGACCUGCACGAAUGGCGUAAUGAUGGCCAGGCUGUCUCCACCCGAGACUCAGUGAAAUUGAACUCGCUGUGAAGAUGCAGUGUACCCGCGGCAAGACGGAAAGACCCCGUGAACCUUUACUAUAGCUUGACACUGAACAUUGAGCCUUGAUGUGUAGGAUAGGUGGGAGGCUUUGAAGUGUGGACGCCAGUCUGCAUGGAGCCGACCUUGAAAUACCACCCUUUAAUGUUUGAUGUUCUAACGUUGACCCGUAAUCCGGGUUGCGGACAGUGUCUGGUGGGUAGUUUGACUGGGGCGGUCUCCUCCUAAAGAGUAACGGAGGAGCACGAAGGUUGGCUAAUCCUGGUCGGACAUCAGGAGGUUAGUGCAAUGGCAUAAGCCAGCUUGACUGCGAGCGUGACGGCGCGAGCAGGUGCGAAAGCAGGUCAUAGUGAUCCGGUGGUUCUGAAUGGAAGGGCCAUCGCUCAACGGAUAAAAGGUACUCCGGGGAUAACAGGCUGAUACCGCCCAAGAGUUCAUAUCGACGGCGGUGUUUGGCACCUCGAUGUCGGCUCAUCACAUCCUGGGGCUGAAGUAGGUCCCAAGGGUAUGGCUGUUCGCCAUUUAAAGUGGUACGCGAGCUGGGUUUAGAACGUCGUGAGACAGUUCGGUCCCUAUCUGCCGUGGGCGCUGGAGAACUGAGGGGGGCUGCUCCUAGUACGAGAGGACCGGAGUGGACGCAUCACUGGUGUUCGGGUUGUCAUGCCAAUGGCACUGCCCGGUAGCUAAAUGCGGAAGAGAUAAGUGCUGAAAGCAUCUAAGCACGAAACUUGCCCCGAGAUGAGUUCUCCCUGACUCCUUGAGAGUCCUGAAGGAACGUUGAAGACGACGACGUUGAUAGGCCGG
This 1388-nucleotide ribosomal RNA is filed under the name Escherichia coli O26:H11. RNAcentral's name for it is "bacterial LSU rRNA". It matches the Rfam family "Bacterial large subunit ribosomal RNA", at positions 1501 to 2864 of the family's 2925-position model. The record is from RNAcentral. Lineage: Bacteria; Pseudomonadati; Pseudomonadota; Gammaproteobacteria; Enterobacterales; Enterobacteriaceae.